This 377-nucleotide transfer-messenger RNA is filed under the name Chitinophagaceae. RNAcentral's name for it is "Edaphocola sp001897155 Standard tmRNA". It matches the Rfam family "transfer-messenger RNA". Rfam says of the family: Bacterial tmRNA, also known as 10Sa RNA or SsrA, is named for its dual tRNA and mRNA-like properties. Its role is to liberate the mRNA from a stalled ribosome. To accomplish this part of the tmRNA is used as a reading frame that ends in a translation stop signal. The record is from RNAcentral. RNAcentral also lists the same sequence under 1 other name. Lineage: Bacteria; Pseudomonadati; Bacteroidota; Chitinophagia; Chitinophagales.
GGGGCCGCCUGGUUUUGACAGCACCAGAGAGGGAUUGUGUAAGCAUGCAGUGCGUUGUGUAAUUAGCACUUUAAUCUGAAUGCUCAAAUUUUAACUGGCAACGAAGAGUUUGCUAUGGCUGCCUAAUCCAGGAUUAGGACGUCGUUUAGGCCGCGUGAACGGGUAGUUCCAACACCCAAUUCCGCCGCCGACAUCAUCAAACAAGUUGGAAUGCUGUUGUUUCAGGCUGUGCGAACAACAUAAGACCUAUACAGCUAAGCGGUAGAUUGGUUUGCUCUUUUCCUGUUUACUGCCGACAACCAAUAGAAGAGAUAAGCAUGUAGAAGACUUUUUUGAUCGGUGUUUGGACGCGAGUUCGAUUCUCGCCGGCUCCACAA